CCGCCUCACUGCUCCAAACACUUUAAGACUCACAGUGUGGAUCAGUCACUGUUCAGCCCUUUCAGAGUCACUGACACACACAGGACAAUGAUGCCACUGAUUCUACUGCUGGGGACACUGGGGCUCUUUGCUCUAGAAUCCAGUGGACAGGUUACUGUGACUCAGACUCCAGCAGUGAAAUCUGUUCUCUCCGGACAGACAGUCACUGUGAGCUGUAAGACCAGUCCUGCAGUGUAUGUUUAUAACUCUAAGCACUACCUAACCUGGUACCAACAGAAAGCUGGAGAAGCUCCUAAACUCCUGAUCUAUCUUGCAACUACCCGUCAGACUGGGAUCCCAGAGCGUUUCAGUGGCAGUGGAUCUGGGACUGACUUCACUCUGACCAUCACAGGAGUCCAAGCUGAAGAUGCAGCAGAAUAUUACUGCCAGAGUUACCACUACAUCAACAGUAAAGAUCUGUCCACACAGUGUUACACAGCCGUACAAAAACCUCCCUCAGCAGGACUGCACAGCGACUGCACUGCUGCAGCUGGGACCUCUUGCAGGUGCACUUACAAGUUUAUUAUACUAUU
Molecule: non-coding RNA, 572 nt
Organism: Lepisosteus oculatus (spotted gar)
Lineage: Eukaryota; Metazoa; Chordata; Actinopteri; Semionotiformes; Lepisosteidae
Source: the annotation of a RefSeq genome assembly